GAAUUAGAUGGAAGCAAGUAAUGGAGGUGUGAUGGAGGGAGAUAAAAAGGAAGGGGGACAAAGUGAGGAAGGGGUUGCUGCGACUUUUCAUCAAGUUGGAGCUACUGCAGGGAGCAGAAUGAGCUGGAUUAAAAUCCAGUGUGUGCAUCGAAAGCAGAGGCAGCGAGAGAGUGAAGAGAGAGGAAGGAAGAAGAUUUGGCCCGGUUUGCAGCAUUGUGAAGGAGAAGCAGUUGGAUGGAUAAAUGCGGAGCUUCCAUUGUCGGCGCUAAAAGGUCAGCAGGGAUCCCACCUCUAUAGACGGAGAGUCACCCAUGAGAGGAGGCGGACUGGAUGAAGCCUGUGCGACAUGCUGUCACAGUGAGACGGACAAAGAGAACACACGCCGUCACCUUUUACUUCGUUAUCCAGCCACAUCUGCCAUGUGUCAUUUCUCUUUUUUUGUUUGUCUAAAUCAAGAUAACUGCUGUCAGUAUCUUCUCAUCACAAUAAAAAGACAAUGACGUCGCCCUG
Amphiprion ocellaris (clown anemonefish) is the source of this 510-nucleotide long non-coding RNA. RefSeq lists it as uncharacterized. The record is from RefSeq and is a predicted model, not a curated record. The transcript is spliced from 2 exons. NCBI's taxonomy places the organism in Eukaryota, Metazoa, Chordata, Actinopteri, Pomacentridae.